RNAcentral lists this ribosomal RNA (371 nucleotides) under uncultured organism. RNAcentral describes it as "bacterial SSU rRNA". It matches the Rfam family "Bacterial small subunit ribosomal RNA", at positions 526 to 896 of the family's 1533-position model. The record is from RNAcentral.
CAGAGGGUGCAAGCGUUAAUCGGAUUUACUGGGCGUAAAGCGUGUGUAGGUGGCUCGCUAAGUCGGUUGUGAAAUCCCUGGGCUCAACCUGGGAAUUGCAGUCGAUACUGAUGAGCUCGAGUUCGGUAGAGGGUGACGGAAUUCCCGGUGUAGCGGUGAAAUGCGUAGAUAUCGGGAGGAACAUCGAUGGCGAAGGCAAUCACCUGGGCCUGAACUGACACUGUGACACGAAAGCGUGGGUAGCAAACAGGAUUAGAUACCCUGGUAGUCCACGCCGUAAACGAUGGGAACCUGACGUCGGUUUGCUCUGCGAAUCGGUGUCGUAGCUAACGCGCUAAGUUCCCCGCCUGGGGAGUACGGCCGCAAGGUUG